CCUACGGGAGGCUGCAGUGGGGAAUAUUGGACAAUGGGCGCAAGCCUGAUCCAGCCAUGCCGCGUGGGUGAAGAAGGCCUUCGGGUUGUAAAGCCCUUUUGUUGGGAAAGAAAAGCAGCCGGUUAAUACCCGGUUGUCAUGACGGUACCCAAAGAAUAAGCACCGGCUAACUUCGUGCCAGCAGCCGCGGUAAUACGAAGGGUGCAAGCGGUACUCGGAAUGACUGGGCGUAAAGCGUUAAGUCGGAUGUGAAAGCCCUGGGCUCAACCUGGGAACUGCAUUUGAUACUGGCAGGCUAGAGUGCGGUAGAGGGGUGCGGAAUUCCUGGUGUAGCAGUGAAAUGCGUAGAGAUCAGGAGGAACAUCCGUGGCGAAGGCGGCACCCUGGGCCAGCACUGACACUGAGGCACGAAAGCGUGGGGAGCAAACAGGAUUAGAUACCCGGGUAGUC
RNAcentral lists this ribosomal RNA (450 nucleotides) under uncultured bacterium. Its description in RNAcentral is "partial 16S ribosomal RNA". It matches the Rfam family "Bacterial small subunit ribosomal RNA", at positions 338 to 795 of the family's 1533-position model. The record is from RNAcentral.